This 77-nucleotide transfer RNA is filed under the name Nitrospirota bacterium. RNAcentral describes it as "Nitrospirae bacterium (marine metagenome) tRNA-Thr". It matches the Rfam family "tRNA". From Rfam's summary of the family: Transfer RNA (tRNA) molecules are approximately 80 nucleotides in length. The record is from RNAcentral. Lineage: Bacteria; Pseudomonadati; Nitrospirota.
GCCACCGUAGCUCAACCCGGCAGAGCAGGGCAUUCGUAAUGCUCAGGCUAGGGGUUCAACUCCCCUCGGUGGCUUCA